This is a non-coding RNA of Lagenorhynchus albirostris (white-beaked dolphin), 562 nucleotides long. Lineage: Eukaryota; Metazoa; Chordata; Mammalia; Artiodactyla; Delphinidae. The record is from the annotation of a RefSeq genome assembly.
AUGGCCUGGACUCCUCUCCUGCUCGUGUUCCUCUCUCACUGCACAGGGAGGGCCAGGCUGCGGGGACCAGGUUCCGUCUCCCAGCCUGUGCUGACUCAGCCUCCCUCCCUCUCUGCAUCUCUGGGAGCAUCAGCCAGACUCACCUGCACCCUGAGCAGUGGGUACAGUGUUGCCAGCUAUGUUAUAACCUGGUACCAGCAGAAGCCAGGGAGGUCUCCCUGGUACCUCCUGUCCUACAACUCAGACUCCAUUAAGGACCAGGGCUCCAGGGUCCCCAGCCACUUCUCUGGAUCCAAAGAGGCCUCAGCCAAUGCAGGGCUUCUACUCAUCUCGGCUGCAGCCCAAGGACGAGGCUGACCAUUACUGUGCAAUCUGGUACAACAGUGCUCCUCACAGAGACGCAGGGUCCCAGGCUGUGGCGACUCAGGAGCCCUCAGUGAUCGUGUCCUCAGGAGGGACAGUCACUCUCGCCUAUGGCUCCAGCACUGGAGCAGUGACCAACAGUCGCUAUCCAUGCCGGUUCCAGCAGAAACGUGGCCAAGCCCCCAGGACACUGACUUAG